GGAUUAGAUACCCUGGUAGUCCACGCCGUAAACGAUGUCUACUUGCUGUUUGUGUCUUUAAGACGUGAGUAGCGAAGCUAACGCGCUAAGUAGACCGCCUGGGGAGUACGGCCGCAAGGUUAAAACUCAAAUGAAUUGACGGGGGCCCGCACAAGCGGUGGAGCAUGUGGUUUAAUUCGAUGCAACGCGAAGAACCUUACCAUCCCUUGACAUCCAGAGAAUUUUGUAGAGAUAUGAAAGUGCCUUCGGGAACUCUGAGACAGGUGCUGCAUGGCUGUCGUCAGCUCGUGCCG
RNAcentral lists this ribosomal RNA (293 nucleotides) under uncultured bacterium. Its description in RNAcentral is "partial 16S ribosomal RNA". It matches the Rfam family "Bacterial small subunit ribosomal RNA", at positions 775 to 1067 of the family's 1533-position model. The record is from RNAcentral.